UGCAGCUUUAGGAGAUGGGAGAAGGCAAUCAACUCUGUUAUUGCCAAAGUGGCCUAUAACAUCCAUGCCUUUUUGAAAAUAUUCAAGAAAGAAUCAUAAUAAUCCUGGUUCCCGCCGACGAGAUGCUGAGCCCGACCUGGAUCAUAUGCAUGUCACAAAUUCAGGAGAAGUAUAUUAUUUUUCCAAAAGGUUCUCUGGCCUGAUUGAUGAAAAACACAACCUGAGAGCUGAAAGAAACAAAGAAAAUAUCCUCCAAAGGACGAUAGAGAAGCACUACCAUUUUCAACAAGAUAAUGGAAAAAAGAGCCAGAACAAGUCUAAUAUAAAUAAUUACUUAGAUUGCUCAACAGGAUUUUUGUUGUUGAAUUUGCCUAGAAUAUCAACAUCUAUGCUACAACAAAAGGCAAGCGGCUAUAGUAUGCGACCGAUGUCAUGACAAAAAUUAAUCCUGAGCGUUCAUUUUAAAAUGAAUGAUCUAACAAACAUAGAACUUUGCAAGAUUUGCAGAUCAGAAAUCUCUUCAUGUGUUGCAAUGCAACUUGAGUGGCAAAAGCUAGCGUAACAUAAGCUAGUUACUACCUACUUCAUGAACAUGAAAACUGGCUACUGCACACACGGCUACCAAAAGAAGCUUCAAGAAAGCUUAGCUAACUUCUGAAGAAAAAAAUGCAGCAACUGUAGUGGGACGAACCCAGAAAGCCUUGUUCAACGAUAUCAUGCUCAACAUUAAAGCAGAGAUAACUGGAAAAAAAUUAGCUCUGAAUCAGUCCUGUAGCUCCUCAUUCAUGAAUGCAUUAAAAUGUAACUUUCCAUCUCCAUUACGCAAAUAAUUCCCAACAUGUAUACAGUUAUAGGGUUUGUAAAUGUGACUUACAAACUGAGACAAAUAUGUGAACUGUGCUGCCAAUCUCAAUCCAACUAAAGCCUGGCAUCUCAAUGCCACAGAUAUACCUCAUCCUCACCCUUUGCACAUCCACCCAAC
This 982-nucleotide long non-coding RNA is filed under the name Musa acuminata (dwarf banana). RNAcentral's name for it is "long non-coding RNA (MACU_LNC006762)". The record is from RNAcentral. Lineage: Eukaryota; Viridiplantae; Streptophyta; Magnoliopsida; Zingiberales; Musaceae.